AGAUUCCGUUGCAGCAAAGAGCCGCAGCAGCUUCGCCAUUAGGGAAGCUUGUUGGCCAGACUAUGCAUGGGCCUAGAGUGGCGAUAACUCUGGCAAGAUUUCUGCCUGAUGGCCUUGUCUCGGUAAUCAGGGAUGAUCCUGGUGAAGCAGUUGUGACUGCUCUUGAACAAACAACAGAAACUCCUGAACUUGUCUGGACUCCAACAAUGAUCGUUGUCUGCACAAAUAGCAACUAUGGCUUCGGAUCUGUACCGUGAACAGGUGAAAGGACGUGUUGUUGAUUGGGAUGUACCUGAGCAGGCUUCUGGCCAACAGGAGAUGAGAAAUGAACCUCAGGUUUUGCAUGCAUUUGCAACAGUAGGGGCCUAUUGUACCAAAGUACGUGACAUACUGAGUGCCUCUGAUGCAACCAAGAAAAUUACACUGCCAAACUUGCGAAAGACUUUCACGCAGAUUUGAAGGUCUGCUUAGAGGGAGACAACGGAUACUCCUUUUGUACCCCAAGCCAUCUUCCUUCUAGCUACUCAGCUGGCGAUGCAGAUAUAAGUGCAGAUAAGAGUCCGAAACAGUGAGCUCGUCUUGUGAAUCUAGGAGUUACAUUUGCUACGCUUGGCUAGAAGACCACGGUGAUGUUCCCGGAAGUGCUUUAGUAUUGGUGUCCUGUGGUGCAGGUGACUAUUCAUAUGCUAUCAUAUCAUUUUUAUCAUAUGUCCCCCAAUGUUUUGUGUUGCUGGGUUCUCAUUUUCUUGGAUUUUUGACUAAUUGGAGCGUAUUUCUUCAUUGUUUUUGCUGCUUUGAUUUAAUUUAUCUAGUAAUAAUAGCGUUUGUGUUCUGCCACCUUGCAUAUCUGCUGCUGAAACUCUGUUGUUCUCCAUUUUCAACUUUCUUGUUCACAACAUAUAUAGUCAACUAACAUAUUGUAGAACUCUUGUAAAGUUGAUCAGCUCUUGUGGUAGAGAUUGUGUUCUUGCUUGAGUGCUUGGACUCAUGUUGAAGUAACUUCCUCCUUGCUUAUACAACUCUUUGACAGUAUAAGAAUUGACGGGUGAUUAAUACAGUUGUUGAACAAAACCUUCCAGCCAAAAAGGUCUCAUCAAGGACCAACACAUCAGACGGAGGAGCACAAGACUUUUUGACUGUCUCCAGUGUUGGAAUCCUGUUGCUCAAAACUGUGCUGUCACAUAAAUAAAUGUGGUUGCUGCUCGUUUGUGCUUACUCUAUUGUUCUUACUUCAAAUUAAUUCAAAAGUACACGUUUUCUUUCAAAAAAAGUAUUUUAUUUUAGAUGGUCAAAUUAUAUUAAAUUAUCACAAUUUACUUUCUAAAAUUUUGAAAUUUCUCACUUUGUCAUUCGACUUAGGGCCGUUCACUUGGAGUUAGGAUAAAUAGCCUAAUUCAAUAAAAGCUUGUUUCUUGUUUACUUUGAGUGUUAGGGCCUGGGCUUGUGGCCCGAGCGUGGCAUUAUUAUUAUUUGGACACAAUUAAUCACCAACAGAGGGGGUUUAUUAUCUUAUUCGAAUUUAGACUCCUUAAAUAUUCAUUGAUAUUAUUUAUUGUUUUACUCAAAUUCUACCCAUAAAAU
Molecule: non-coding RNA, 1581 nt
Organism: Sesamum indicum (sesame)
Lineage: Eukaryota; Viridiplantae; Streptophyta; Magnoliopsida; Lamiales; Pedaliaceae
Source: RefSeq, a predicted model, not a curated record